UGGAUCAGUUCUUGUAGUUGACUUAGAAAGUCUCUGUACUAGGGGAGGAAAUAUAGUCCAGUCAACUAAAGCUAUACCGGCUUGGGGGCUCUAAAAUAUAGAACUUCAUAUUUCGAAUCAAUAAAUCCUUGCAGUCAAAAAACAGAUCCCCAAUUUUCUAAUUUUUUUCAUAACAGCAAAAGCGUGCGAUCACACUGACCAUGUGAAUUUAGCAUGAACAAAUGACCCCCUCCCAUAUUCAAGCAUAGAGACAAUACAUUAACGCGGUCCUGCAAUAAUACAAUACAUACUUAUAAGUGUCUAUAUAUAUAUAUCAUAUACUUCUAACAGUGGGCUGGCCAUGUAAAUUAGCAAAAAAUGAAGUUUGUACGGACUGUAAAUGUUUUGAGACUAGAGUUGAUCAUGGCCAGAUUUGGACACAAAAAAUACUAAAAUUAAAUUUGAUCUAAAAUCUGACUAAAAGUAUUUGAGACCUGUCCUUAAAAUGCAUACGACCCUUAAAACUCAGCGAUGGAUGCAAAAUGCAUUUAAAGACGGGUUGAACUAAAAUUGUAAUCCACCAGCCUCGCAUGAC
RNAcentral lists this long non-coding RNA (574 nucleotides) under Phoenix dactylifera (date palm). RNAcentral's name for it is "long non-coding RNA (PDAC_LNC020046)". The record is from RNAcentral. Lineage: Eukaryota; Viridiplantae; Streptophyta; Magnoliopsida; Arecales; Arecaceae.